UACGUAGGGGGCGAGCGUUGUCCGGAUUUAUUGGGCGUAAAGAGCGUGUAGGCGGCCAGGUAGGUCUGCUGUGAAAACUCGAGGCUCAACCUCGAGACGUCGGCGGAAACCAUCUGGCUAGAGUCCGGAAGAGGAGAGUGGAAUUCCUGGUGUAGCGGUGAAAUGCGCAGAUAUCAGGAAGAACACCAAUGGCGAAGGCAGCUCUCUGGGACGGUACUGACGCUGAGACGCGAAAGCGUGGGGAGCGAACAGG
This 253-nucleotide ribosomal RNA is filed under the name uncultured bacterium. RNAcentral describes it as "partial 16S ribosomal RNA". It matches the Rfam family "Bacterial small subunit ribosomal RNA", at positions 524 to 776 of the family's 1533-position model. The record is from RNAcentral.